RNAcentral lists this ribosomal RNA (253 nucleotides) under uncultured bacterium. RNAcentral's name for it is "partial 16S ribosomal RNA". It matches the Rfam family "Bacterial small subunit ribosomal RNA", at positions 524 to 776 of the family's 1533-position model. The record is from RNAcentral.
UACGUAGGGUCCGAGCGUUAAUCGGAAUUACUGGGCGUAAAGCGUGCGCAGGCGGUUUUGUAAGCCAGAUGUGAAAUCCCCGGGCUCAACCUGGGAACUGCAUUUGGGACUGCAAGGCUUGAGUACGGCAGAGGGGGGUAGAAUUCCUGGUGUAGCAGUGAAAUGCGUAGAUAUCAGGAGGACUACCGCUGGCGAACUCCGCCCCCUGGGUCGCGCCUGACGCUGAGGCGCUCUAUCGUGGGGAGCAAACAGG